RNAcentral lists this ribosomal RNA (518 nucleotides) under uncultured bacterium. RNAcentral describes it as "bacterial SSU rRNA". It matches the Rfam family "Bacterial small subunit ribosomal RNA", at positions 15 to 518 of the family's 1533-position model. The record is from RNAcentral.
GAUUCUGGCUCAGAUUGAACGCUGGCGGCGUGCUUAACACAUGCAAGUCGCGCGUGAAAGGACUUCGGUCCGAGUAAAGCGGCGCACGGGUGAGUAACGCGUGGAUGAUCUACCCAUGAGUUAGGAAUAACGGCUGGAAACGGUCGCUAAUACCAAAUACGCUCCGAUUUCAACUUCGGGGGAAAGGUGGCCUCUGCUUGCAAGCUACUGCUCAUGGAUGAGUCCGCGUCCCAUUAGCUAGUUGGUGGGGUAACGGCCCACCAAGGCGACGAUGGGUAGCCGGUCUGAGAGGAUGACCGGCCACACUGGGACUGGAACACGGCCCAGACUCCUACGGGAGGCAGCAGUGGGGAAUAUUGCGCAAUGGGCGAAAGCCUGACGCAGCGACGCCGCGUGAGGGAUGAAGGUCCUCGGAUCGUAAACCUCUGUCAGGAGGGAAGAACCGCCACGGUGCUAAUCAGCCGUGGUCUGACGGUACCUCCAAAGGAAGCACCGGCUAACUCCGUGCCAGCCGCUGC